UGAAAUAUUUUCUGAAACAUGGUUGG
Molecule: non-coding RNA, 26 nt
Filed under: Rattus norvegicus (Norway rat)
Lineage: Eukaryota; Metazoa; Chordata; Mammalia; Rodentia; Muridae
Source: RNAcentral